AUGGCCGACCCCUCCCCCUCCCCCCCCACGGCGGCCUCCGCCAGCGACGCCCUCCUCGCGCCGGACGCGACCCUCCCCGCCGCCGCCCCCGACCUGGACAAGGAGUUCGGGUUCCAGCGGGCGGAGCUCGGUAAGGAGAAGCUCGCCGGGACGGUGGGCUUCCACGAGCGCCACGUGUUCCUCUGCUACAAGGGCCCUGAGGAGUGGCCGUCCCACGUCGAGGCCUCCGAGUCCGACCACCUCCCCCGCCUCCUCGCCGCCGCCAUCAAGGCCCGCAAGCCCAAUCUGAAGAAGAGCACCAAACUGACAAUUUGUGAAGGAGAAGAUGGCACUGAGUCAUCUCUUGGAGAUGUGUUGAUCUUUCCUGAUAUGAUCCGAUACAGAGAGCUGACCCACCUUGAUGUCGACAACUUUGUGGAAGAAGUACUCUUGAAAGAUACUGAAUGGCUUCCUGGAUCUCCUGAGGCUAUAAAAGGUUCCUAUGUUUUUGUCUGCUGCCAUGGAAGCAGGGAUAAAAGGUGUGGUGUUUGCGGUCCUGCUCUGAUUACAAGGUUCAAGGAAGAGAUUGAAGGACAAGGUCUUGAUGGUCAGGUGGCUGUUAGUGCAUGCUCACACGUUGGAGGUCACAAGUAUGCAGGAAAUGUCAUCAUAUUCAGUCCAGAUGCCAAGGGAGAAGUGACUGGUCAUUGGUAUGGUUAUGUUGCUCCUGAUGAUGUGCCUGUGUUACUGCGUCAACAUAUCGGACAAGGAGAGAUUGUGGGCCAUCUAUGGAGGGGCCAGUUGGGCUUGUCUGAAGAGCAGCAGAAGAAAGCUCUGGAGCUUAGGCACGCGACGAAUGGCCUGACCGAGGAAAAAUCAAGCGCCAAAGAAUCCCCUGAAGCAAAUGGGACCAACGGUGCUGCUUGCAACCCUGCACCUGCAGGUGGAUGCUGCCAGGGCAAUGGAGGAGGGUUAACCUGCUGCCAAAAUGAUCUGCCAGAAGCAAAACAGGAUAAGAGCAUUCCAGCUGAGCAGAACCACAAGAGCUCUACGACAGAGUGUGACAAAGAAAACGUUGCUGCCACCAAGAAGGGGCGCAUGAAGAUUUGCCGGGCAUCCACCUGGUUCGAGAUCUGGGACAGGUCCGACACCUACACCACUCUUGCUGUUGUUGCUUCUGCUGCAACCGUGUUCGCCGCGUUCAGGUGCUACAAGGCCAUGAACUGA
RNAcentral lists this ribosomal RNA (1206 nucleotides) under Triticum aestivum (bread wheat). RNAcentral describes it as "partial small subunit ribosomal RNA". The record is from RNAcentral. Lineage: Eukaryota; Viridiplantae; Streptophyta; Magnoliopsida; Poales; Poaceae.